AAACGCCGUAUACGGGCCCGUACGUACGGUGUUGUGAGGGGACAGGUAGCCAAUUAAUGACUACCUUCCCACUCGAU
Molecule: non-coding RNA, 77 nt
Organism: Sphingobacteriales bacterium 50-39
Lineage: Bacteria; Pseudomonadati; Bacteroidota; Sphingobacteriia; Sphingobacteriales
Source: Rfam